GCGCAAGAAGCUGUUUCAAGGUAUCGCUAGAUUUCCAUUUUAAAAUGUCAACUAUUAAUUCAAACCUUAUACAAUCUAUUAUUAUAUUACUAUUUAAAUGACUAGGAAUUUUAUGCUGACAGAUAUUGGAUUGAACAGCAACAAGGAUUUUCUAAGGGUUACUACUGCCAAAUUUGUUCGAGGAAUUUCAAUCAAGCCUGAUGUUCCUCCUCCCCAAGCUUCUAAAUCGAUGGAAGAUUCUUCUCCCCCGGAAGAACAAAAAAAAGACAAGCCCAAGGCCGAGGCUACUGCAGGGCCUGAGGCUGAGGCUUUACCUGAAGCGCCAAUUGUGUUUGUUAGGUCGAAAUCAGAUGGUGAUAUAGAGAGUUUUUCUGUGAAGACGAAAAAGAGGAAAGAGGAACUAAUAGGUCGUGUACCAAAACAGCGUUUAACUAGAACAUCGUCAGGACAACUAGCACAUAGCACAGGUGUUUGUCACUAUGCAUGUUCAGCUCAAAUGUCGAACCCGAAAAGGGCUAAAACCAAAUCAGCCCUGCCUAGUGAGGUGUUACAAUCUGUAUUUUCACCUGAUGCUUUUGACUCAUUCUUCCUGAUAAAGAAUUUGGACACUGGAAAGGAGUUUAUUGUGAAAGAAUCCAAUGAAAAGGGAAUGUGGAAUAAGCUAAAUGACGUUCAAACUGGGAAACAACUUACAAUGGAGGAAUUUGAGAAAUCUGUUGGAUAUUCACAGUUUGUGAAGGAAGUAAUGGCUCGUACUAAUGUCUCAAGGAGUCUUGACGAUGCCAAGAAAGUAAAUAUUAAUUCAUAUCUAACUAAGAGUUUCAGGAAUGGCAAAAGAAUGGGUGCCUAUUUCUUGAAGAACAUCAUGGGAGUGGCAAAUACCAUGAAUGGAAAAGUUGUAGAAAAAGAAGGAGAACAUUCUUCACAAUCUUCACUGGUAGAACAGAGAGCUAAUAAAACUUCGUCACAAUGGAUCAAAGCUCACCAGUAUGGGAAAUCCUACAAAGAAUUUUCAGCUUUGCACAUGUCUCAAGAAAUUCAAGCUCAUGACGGCUCAAUAUGGACGAUUAAGUUUAGCUGGGACGUGUGUUUCCUGGCAAGCACGGGAGAAGAUGGUAUAAUUCAUGUAUGGGAAGUGCAAGAAUGUGAUGUUACGUCAACAAGAUCGCCUGAUAAUACAAAUUCACCGGGGGAAACACCUGCUCACCCGAUGGCAGGCACCACUUCAGAUCAGCCUCCACUAGCAGAGAUUACACCUAUGCCAUCCGCAAUGAAAAGAAGAGGGGGGAAUAAUAGGAAAAAGGGAAACUCGAUUCCAGACUAUGUUAGUAUGCCAGAAACCGUAUUUUCUCUUUCAGAAAAGCCGUUCUGCACUUUCAAAGGUCACCAAGGCCACGUGUUAGAUCUCUCAUGGUCAAAAUCUCAGGUCAGCUUCCCACAUCGUAGUUUCUAGUAUAAGGUAGGAGCGCAAUAAAUUAUUUGAUUCAUUGUAUAAUUCAUUCGUUUUUCUUCCUAAUUAGAACUAGUCGUCUGUAAGAGUCAAGAAAUGGUAAAAAUUUUGAAAUAGAACUCUCUGUUUUCUGAUUCUUAAGAUGACCAUUUAGUUAAUAACUGGAAACAGUUAACAUAAAGGAAUAAAGUUCUAUGCAGCUACUGCUAUCAUCUUCGAUGGACAAGACAGUUAGGCUGUGGGACUUGGAGACAAGAAGCUGUUUAAAGAUGUUUGCACACAAUGAUUAUGGUGAGACACCGAACUUAUGCUGCAAUUAUUCAAUCACCAGGGCCUAAAAAUUGCUUAUGAUUGUUGACGUGUUAUUUGUAUUAGUCCUACUUCUGAUGAGUAUGGUUUGGCAGUCACUUGUGUACAGUUCAAUCCAGUAGAUGAAGAUUAUUUCAUCAGUGGUUCACUUGAUGGAAAGGUCCGAAUUUGGAGCAUACCUGAUCGUCAGGUUGUCAACUGGACAGAUCUCCAUGAGAUGGUUACAGCUGCUUGCUACACUCCUGAUGGCCAGGUACAUACAUCCAAAUUUUCAUACAAUUCUACCGAAACUUGUAUAUGAAAGGACUUUUACAUUACUUCAGUUCAUGUAAAAUCAACUCUGUACAUCUACAUCUCUAUCGAAUUCUUUAGUAACACCACCUGUUUAAAUUCACACCCCAUUUGAAAUCAGAUCUUGAAGAUGAACGAUAUAACUAACUUAUGUUUGUUUGGAGGAUUUACCAGUAAUGUUCUAUGAAUAGGAGAAUCUUAAGACCUUGAUUGGCUCCUGAAUCUGUGAAGUACCAUGCUGAUAAUAAUUCUUUAACUGUUGAAGGGUGCAAUCAUC
This 2327-nucleotide long non-coding RNA is filed under the name Olea europaea (common olive). Its description in RNAcentral is "long non-coding RNA (OEUR_LNC006193)". Lineage: Eukaryota; Viridiplantae; Streptophyta; Magnoliopsida; Lamiales; Oleaceae. The record is from RNAcentral.